GCAUCUCCCGGGCCGGCUACCUCCUCCUGCUGUCCGCCGCCACUCCGCCGAGGGCUUCACACCGCGGGGCCGGAGAGAUAAUCCUAGCCAUGGAAAUGAGCACAGCUUUUGCUCCAUGCCUCCAUGAAGGACUCUCACAAAUGAUUCUCCUCCAGCACUGAAAACAGAGGAGCUCUGCAGGACACCACUGACCUGGAAAACCCUCAGCUGCUGCCACAGCAGGAGAUGUCAAGAGACAGAAAGCCUGCCUGGAUGAAUGUGGGGUUCCUGCCUACCCUGACGCUGUGUGUCUUCCUGGCACCCUGUGUCUAAAAUUCAUGUAAUUCACCAGUGGCAUUUUGGGAUUUCCUACAUGUGCUAAAUUGUAAUGAAAGACAUCCGCUGAUGGCAAAGUCUCUGGCCCCAGAGGAUUACAUGGGGUAGGGCUGCGUGAGACAGCCCAAAUCCACUUGAGACUGAAAAGGUGUGAGCAGUAAAUAAAAGGAAAUCCUGGAUCACUAUGUAGUGUUCAGCUCCCACACUUUGACCUCCUUUGGUCCCUUCUAUAUUUUGUUAAGAUCAUAUUUCUUUAUGUGCUGCCUGGUUUAAAAGACAUCAUAAAUCUGUGCCAUGCAGCAAGAAUAACAGCGAAGGCACCGUGUAAUACAAGGCGCUCUAAUUCCAUCCCAGGCACUCGGAGGGAGCCGUAAAUCAGUUUGGAGAGGCCUUAGACGGGAGAAGUGGAGGGAAGGCUGGGAAGGUGGCCACAGCCUGGCCCCUGCCACUGGAGCCCAUCUGCCCUCCAGCUGAGGUGAGCACACCUGCCUCAAAAAUAAAGGGUUCUGAUGUCUCCAGACUUGAACAGUGAUCAAACUACUUUAAAUACACUUUGAGGAGAAGCACACCUACCAUCUUUGGUGGGAAUGCUCUGUGGGGUGUGCCAUGCACUGCAGGUGGGAGCAAGGUCUGGCCCUUGCUCAUGUCAUGAGUGUCCAGGUUUGCCUCCACGUGGCAUCACCUGGGGAAACCAAACACCACACCUGGCUGGGCUCACCUGUGGCCAAGCCAUUCCUGUGUCCCAGCUGCCGAUGUGGCUCUGGGUCAGGGAAGGCUCCACCAAUAUCGUAGGCCUUUCACAGCUGUAUGUGAGUGAUGGCUGGUUUGGGGUGUGUAUCCACACACUCACCCAAACCAAUGGAGAUGCAGCUCCUCCACUGGAAAUUUGGGAGGAGCUGGAGCUAGGGAUAUGCUAUCAUAUUCUAGACAGUAACAUCUCUUUUUCUUUGCUCUAGUGGGAAAAAACUUUCAAGUGUGGAAGUUUUCUGAGGAAGACUUUCCUAAUAAUAAUUCUGCUCAAGUUUUGAAAAAAAAUUGUGAAUAAAUUUUUCUUUUUUCUGCCAGCUAGUAUAACAUGAUGGAUGUAAAUUUUUAUAAGGUUUCUUUGUGCUGCAGUUAAAACAUAGUAAAUUUUGGAAAAGAUGAAUUGCAAAGGGGAAUGAAAUGAAAACAUAUUUGUCCAUUUGAACUUCCAAACUCAGACUCUUAAGUUUUCCUAAGAUGAAGGAAUAAAAGAUAAAUCAUUGAA
Long non-coding RNA from Parus major (Great Tit), 1564 nucleotides. RefSeq lists it as uncharacterized. The record is from RefSeq and is a predicted model, not a curated record. The transcript has 2 exons. Lineage: Eukaryota; Metazoa; Chordata; Aves; Passeriformes; Paridae.